RNAcentral lists this ribosomal RNA (115 nucleotides) under Paenibacillus sp. S150. RNAcentral describes it as "partial 16S ribosomal RNA". It matches the Rfam family "Bacterial small subunit ribosomal RNA", at positions 1430 to 1533 of the family's 1533-position model. The record is from RNAcentral. Lineage: Bacteria; Bacillati; Bacillota; Bacilli; Caryophanales; Paenibacillaceae.
GUGGGGUAACCCGCAAGGGGGCCAGCCGCCGAAGGUGGGGUAGAUGAUUGGGGUGAAGUCGUAACAAGGUAGCCGUAUCGGAAGGUGCGGCUGGAUCACCUCCUUUCUAUGGAGA